RNAcentral lists this long non-coding RNA (262 nucleotides) under Lathyrus oleraceus (garden pea). RNAcentral describes it as "Pisum sativum (pea) long non-coding RNA (PSAT_LNC026510)". The record is from RNAcentral. Lineage: Eukaryota; Viridiplantae; Streptophyta; Magnoliopsida; Fabales; Fabaceae.
UAUAACCCUCCACAGGUAACCACCUCUUUACCUUCUGAACCUUCACUAGAGGAACUUGUCAAGCAAAUGGUUGUAAACAAUCUCCAAUUUCAGAAGCGAACAGAUUCUAGUAUUCAGACUUUACAAACACAAAUGGGACAACUUGCUACUCAAAUAAAUAACAUGCAAGCCCAAGGGUCGAACCAGCUUCCAGCCCAAACAGUUGUCAAUCCAAAGGAUUCUAAUGCUAAUGUAAGUGAAAUUUCCUUGAGAUCCGAAAAAG